RNAcentral lists this ribosomal RNA (616 nucleotides) under bacterium 4753K4-B10. RNAcentral's name for it is "bacterial SSU rRNA". It matches the Rfam family "Bacterial small subunit ribosomal RNA", at positions 48 to 659 of the family's 1533-position model. The record is from RNAcentral.
CUAACACAUGCAAGUCGAGCGGUAACAGAAAGUAGCUUGCUACUUUGCUGACGAGCGGCGGACGGGUGAGUAAUGCUUGGGAACAUGCCUUGAGGUGGGGGACAACAGUUGGAAACGACUGCUAAUACCGCAUAAUGUCUACGGACCAAAGGGGGCUUCGGCUCUCGCCUUUAGAUUGGCCCAAGUGGGAUUAGCUAGUUGGUGAGGUAAUGGCUCACCAAGGCGACGAUCCCUAGCUGGUUUGAGAGGAUGAUCAGCCACACUGGGACUGAGACACGGCCCAGACUCCUACGGGAGGCAGCAGUGGGGAAUAUUGCACAAUGGGCGCAAGCCUGAUGCAGCCAUGCCGCGUGUGUGAAGAAGGCCUUCGGGUUGUAAAGCACUUUCAGUCAGGAGGAAAGGUUAGUAGUUAAUACCUGCUAGCUGUGACGUUACUGACAGAAGAAGCACCGGCUAACUCCGUGCCAGCAGCCGCGGUAAUACGGAGGGUGCGAGCGUUAAUCGGAAUUACUGGGCGUAAAGCGUACGCAGGCGGUUUGUUAAGCGAGAUGUGAAAGCCCCGGGCUCAACCUGGGAACUGCAUUUCGAACUGGCAAACUAGAGUGUGAUAGAGGGU